This 409-nucleotide ribosomal RNA is filed under the name bacterium enrichment culture clone ALO1_GLFRUDD03HD0FT. RNAcentral's name for it is "bacterial SSU rRNA". It matches the Rfam family "Bacterial small subunit ribosomal RNA", at positions 9 to 417 of the family's 1533-position model. The record is from RNAcentral.
GAGUUUGAUCUUGGCUCAGAUUGAACGCUGGCGGCAUGCCUUACACAUGCAAGUCGAACGGCAGCACGGGAGCUUGCUCCUGGUGGCGAGUGGCGAACGGGUGAGUAAUGCAUCGGAACGUAUCCUGGAGUGGGGGAUAACGUAGCGAAAGUUACGCUAAUACCGCAUAUUCUGUGAGCAGGAAAGCGGGGGACCUUCGGGCCUCGCGCUCUUGGAGCGGCCGAUGUCGGAUUAGCUAGUUGGUGAGGUAAAGGCGUCACCAAGGCGACGAUCCGUAGCAGGUCUGAGAGGAUGAUCUGCCACACUGGAACUGAGACACGGUCCAGACUCCUACGGGAGGCAGCAGUGGGGAAUUUUGGACAAUGGGGGCAACCCUGAUCCAGCCAUGCCGCGUGAGUGAAGUAAGGCC